UUCGUGCUACAGUAUAUACUUCCACAAUCAAGUGUAAAAGUGAAAUUUAGUGUCAAGAAGCAUAUAUUUGCAAUGUUUAAUUGACAAGCGUGUGCCUUUACAAGUGUUUUAGCUCGUGUACAGUUGAUAUAAUGGAACUAGCCAUGAACUAUGCCAGCACAGUCUUGAUCAAAACAUUCCUGCAGAGUUUUGUUUAAACAUCUUUGGAACAAUAGAGUAUUUAAAGGCAUCCUAAUGAGGUUUUUACUCAAGUCUCGUCAUGGAAUCUUGACACGCAGCCAUCAUCUGAUCACACAUCAAGGUUGCAAGGCUACACUUUGUAACGAGAGUCUGGUGUAUAAAGCAUCAUGGUUGAUGUAAUAUCUUGCUCCUUUUGCAUGUCAUCGUUGGCUGUAGUAAUAAGCCUACUGUGUCAUCAGAACUGAAGCCACUACAUCUACUUCGGUGACUUCUUCACUCAAACAAGGAUUUUAGUACAUAUAUGUGUCAUAUUGAGUAUGAACGUCUCAUCAGAACCCAUUACUCAUGUUAAGAACAGAAGCUUGCGCUGAAUCUGGAGGUGGUAUACAAAAUAAGCUAUUUUUGAUAAAUAAUAUCACAUUUUUAAUGACAAAAAUCGUGUUAGACAGGCUUUGGUCUCUCAUGUAUACUGGCAUUGCCUGUUAAUUACAAAAUGCCAUCGAAGCCAUCAGUUGACCCAGACCAAAUGCUGCAAGUUUUAUCUCAAUUACUAGUUUUUGAUUUUAAGAGAAAAGAAUUGAUUCUCAAAUGCAGACAUUUAUACAGAGAAAAUCUGCCUCAUGCAAGUUAUGCAUUAUCGUUUUUAUAAUUCAAGAAAACAUUAAGCUAGUCAUUAUAAUUAUUUUUAUGUUACGUUUUAUUUU
Molecule: long non-coding RNA, 884 nt
Filed under: Copidosoma floridanum
Lineage: Eukaryota; Metazoa; Arthropoda; Insecta; Hymenoptera; Encyrtidae
Description: uncharacterized LOC111643329, transcript variant X2
Source: RNAcentral